AACGAACGCUGGCGGCAUGCCUAACACAUGCAAGUCGAACGAGACCUUCGGGUCUAGUGGCGCACGGGUGCGUAACGCGUGGGAACCUGCCCUUAGGUUCGGAAUAACUCCCCGAAAGGGGUGCUAAUACCGGAUAAUGUCUUCGGACCAAAGAUUUAUCGCCUUUGGAUGGGCCCGCGUUGGAUUAGCUAGUUGGUAGGGUAAAAGCCUACCAAGGCGACGAUCAAUAGCUGGUCUGAGAGGAUGAUCAGCCACACUGGGACUGAGACACGGCCCAGACUCCUACGGGAGGCAGCAGUGGGGAAUAUUGGACAAUGGGCGAAAGCCUGAUCCAGCAAUGCCGCGUGGGUGAUGAAGGCCUUAGGGUUGUAAAGCUCUUUUACCCGGGAUGAUAAUGACAGUACCGGGAGAAUAAGCUCCGGCUAACUCCGUG
This 433-nucleotide ribosomal RNA is filed under the name uncultured bacterium. Its description in RNAcentral is "partial 16S ribosomal RNA". It matches the Rfam family "Bacterial small subunit ribosomal RNA", at positions 29 to 507 of the family's 1533-position model. The record is from RNAcentral.